UACGUAGGGUGCAAGCGUUAAUCGGAAUUACUGGGCGUAAAGCGUGCGCAGGCGGCUGUGUAAGACAGAUGUGAAAUCCCUGGGCUUAACCUAGGAACUGCAUUUGUGACUGCAUUGCUAGAGUGUGGUAGAGGCAGAUGGAAUUCCGCAUGUAGCAGUGAAAUGCGUAGAUAUGCGGAGGAACACCAAUGGCGAAGGCAAUCUCCUGGACCUGCACUGACGCUCAUGCACGAAAGCGUGGGGAGCAAACAGG
This 253-nucleotide ribosomal RNA is filed under the name uncultured bacterium. RNAcentral's name for it is "partial 16S ribosomal RNA". It matches the Rfam family "Bacterial small subunit ribosomal RNA", at positions 524 to 776 of the family's 1533-position model. The record is from RNAcentral.